Molecule: unclassified non-coding RNA, 354 nt
Filed under: soil metagenome
Description: partial contains 5.8S ribosomal RNA, internal transcribed spacer 2, and large subunit ribosomal RNA
Rfam family: 5.8S ribosomal RNA (bases 1-120)
Source: RNAcentral
GAUGAAGAACGUAGCGAAAUGCGAUACGUAAUGUGAAUUGCAGAAUUCAGUGAAUCAUCGAGUCUUUGAACGCACAUUGCGCCCGCCAGUAUUCUGGCGGGCAUGCCUGUCCGAGCGUCAUUUCAACCCUCGAACCCCUCCGGGGGGUCGGCGUUGGGGAUCGGCCCUGCCUCUGGCGGUGGCCGUCUCCGAAAUACAGUGGCGGUCUCGCCGCAGCCUCUCCUGCGCAGUAGUUUGCACACUCGCAUCGGGAGCGCGGCGCGUCCACAGCCGUUAAACACCCAACUUCUGAAAUGUUGACCUCGGAUCAGGUAGGAAUACCCGCUGAACUUAAGCAUAUCAAUAAGCGGAGGA